RNAcentral lists this ribosomal RNA (500 nucleotides) under uncultured bacterium. Its description in RNAcentral is "partial 16S ribosomal RNA". It matches the Rfam family "Bacterial small subunit ribosomal RNA", at positions 29 to 523 of the family's 1533-position model. The record is from RNAcentral.
AUUGAACGCUGGCGGCAUGCCUUACACAUGCAAGUCGAACAGCAGCACGGGAGCAAUCCUGGUGGCGAGUGGCGAACGGGUGAGUAAAGUAUCGGAACGUGCCCAGUCGUGGGGGAUAACGUAGCGAAAGUUACGCUAAUACCGCAUACGAACUAUGGAUGAAAGCGGGGGAUCGCAAGACCUCGCGCGAUUGGAGCGGCCGAUAUCGGUUUAGGUAGUUGGUGGGGCAAAGGCUCACCAAGCCGACGAUCUGUAGCUGGUCUGAGAGGACGACCAGCCAGCCUGGGAGUGAGACACGGCCCAGAAUCCUGCGGGGGGAAGGAGUGGGGAAUUUUGGGCAAUGGGCGAAAGCCUGAUCCAGCCAUGCCGCGUGCAGGAUGAAGGCCUUCGGGUUGUAAACUGCUUUUGUCCGGAACGAAAAGGUUUGGCCUAAUAAGCUGAGCUCAUGACGGUACCGUAAGAAUAAGCACCGGCUAACUACGUGCCAGCAGCCGCCGUAA